This 77-nucleotide transfer RNA is filed under the name Dehalococcoidia bacterium CG2_30_46_9. RNAcentral describes it as "tRNA-Pro". It matches the Rfam family "tRNA". Rfam says of the family: Transfer RNA (tRNA) molecules are approximately 80 nucleotides in length. Their secondary structure includes four short double-helical elements and three loops (D, anti-codon, and T loops). Further hydrogen bonds mediate the characteristic L-shaped molecular structure. tRNAs have two regions of fundamental functional importance: the anti-codon, which is responsible for specific mRNA codon recognition, and the 3' end, to which the tRNAs corresponding amino acid is attached (by aminoacyl-tRNA synthetases). tRNAs cope with the degeneracy of the genetic code in two manners: having more than one tRNA (with a specific anti-codon) for a particular amino acid; and 'wobble' base-pairing, i.e. permitting non-standard base-pairing at the 3rd anti-codon position. Lineage: Bacteria; Bacillati; Chloroflexota; Dehalococcoidia. RNAcentral also lists the same sequence under 3 other names. The record is from RNAcentral.
CGGGGCGUAGCGCAGCCUGGUAGCGCGUAGCGUUCGGGACGCUAAGGUCGGAGGUUCAAAUCCUCUCGCCCCGACCA